Molecule: long non-coding RNA, 252 nt
Filed under: Phascolarctos cinereus (koala)
Lineage: Eukaryota; Metazoa; Chordata; Mammalia; Diprotodontia; Phascolarctidae
Description: lncRNA (ENSPCIG00000034659.1)
Source: RNAcentral
AUGCCUUAUUCUGUGACCACACCACCUCCACCUCCUCCACCAGCACAUCCUGCCUCUCAACCAACUCCUCCAGCCCCUUACCCAAUGCAACCACCAGUUCCAAGUCUACCUCCCAGAAAUAUCAAAAUGCCCCCUGAGGCAAAAAGUUCAACAAGUGAAGAAAAUUAUGAUGAUGUUGAUAUGCAAUCCAAUGAUUAUGGAAAUCCAGAUGAGGAUCAAGACAGCAAUGGAGAAACAUACGAAGACAUGUGA